CCCAGACUCCUACGGGAGGCAGCAGUGGGGGAUAUUGCACAAUGGGGGGAACCCUGAUGCAGCGACGCCGCGUGGGUGAAGAAGCGCCUCGGCGCGUAAAGCCCUGUCAGCAGGGAAGAAAAUGACGGUACCUGAAGAAGAAGCCCCGGCUAACUACGUGCCAGCAGCCGCGGUAAUACGUAGGGGGCAAGCGUUAUCCGGAUUUACUGGGUGUAAAGGGGGCGCAGACGGCGAUGCAAGCCAGGAGUGAAAGCCCGGGGCCCAACCCCAGGACUGCUCUUGGAACUGCGUGGCUGGAGUGCAGGAGAGGCAAUCGGAAUUCCGUGUGUAGCGGUGAAAUGCGUAGAUAUACGGAGGAACACCAGUGGCGAAGGCGGAUUGCUGGACAGUAACUGACGCUGAGGCGCGAAAGCGUGGGGAGCAAACAGGAUUAGAUACCCGCGUAA
This 446-nucleotide ribosomal RNA is filed under the name uncultured bacterium. RNAcentral describes it as "bacterial SSU rRNA". It matches the Rfam family "Bacterial small subunit ribosomal RNA", at positions 330 to 793 of the family's 1533-position model. The record is from RNAcentral.